UACAGAGGUGGCAAGCGUUGUUCGGAAUUACUGGGCGUAAAGGGCGCGUAGGCGGUCCUCUAAGUCUUGUGUGAAAUCCUCGGCUCAACUGAGGAACUGCACGGGAUACUGGAAGACUUGAGUUCGGGAGAGGGAAGCGGAAUUCCGGGUGUAGCGGUGAAAUGCGUAGAUAUCCGGAGGAACACCGGUGGCGAAGGCGGCUUCCUGGACCGAUUACUGACGCUGAGGCGCGAAAGCUAGGGGAGCAAACGGG
RNAcentral lists this ribosomal RNA (253 nucleotides) under uncultured bacterium. Its description in RNAcentral is "partial 16S ribosomal RNA". It matches the Rfam family "Bacterial small subunit ribosomal RNA", at positions 524 to 776 of the family's 1533-position model. The record is from RNAcentral.